Non-coding RNA from Pelobates cultripes (western spadefoot toad), 218 nucleotides. Lineage: Eukaryota; Metazoa; Chordata; Amphibia; Anura; Pelobatidae. The record is from the annotation of a GenBank genome assembly.
AGUGGCAAAGUGAGGGAGGGAAGGGGUGACUAGUGACAGAGUGAGGGGAUGACUGGUGACAGAGUAAGGGGGGGUGACUGCCACUAGUCACCCCAUCCCUCUCUCUGUCACUAGUCACUCCCUCCCUAACUCUGUCACUGUGUCACCCGCUCUCUCACUCUGUCACUAGUCACCACCUUACUCUGUCACUGUGUCACCCCCUCACUCACUCUGUCACU